GUUUUGCGUGAGGGAUAGAAGUGGAAAUCCUUUUUUGUGGCUUUUUCAGCCGCAGAAAAGAUUGCAGCGUAUAGCCCGACCCGUU
Molecule: small RNA, 85 nt
Filed under: Flavobacterium cauense R2A-7
Lineage: Bacteria; Pseudomonadati; Bacteroidota; Flavobacteriia; Flavobacteriales; Flavobacteriaceae
Description: Flavo-1 RNA
Rfam family: Flavo-1 RNA
Source: RNAcentral